CUAUAAUCAGAUACUAUGAAUUUCGAAUAAAGACCGGACCGAGAUUCAAUCUACUAUAUGAAUUUCAGAGUAAUCUCAGGUCAUCUAAUUUUUAUCUCAAGUUUAUCCUAGGAUCCAUGAUGCAAUCAGAGAGAGAGAAAGAUCCUAGAGAGAAAAAAUCUAGAGAAAAAAUAGAGAGAGAAAUUAGAGAGAGAAAGGUAGAGAGAGG
This 208-nucleotide long non-coding RNA is filed under the name Elaeis guineensis (African oil palm). RNAcentral describes it as "long non-coding RNA (EGUI_LNC028896)". Lineage: Eukaryota; Viridiplantae; Streptophyta; Magnoliopsida; Arecales; Arecaceae. The record is from RNAcentral.